This 324-nucleotide long non-coding RNA is filed under the name Ananas comosus (pineapple). RNAcentral describes it as "long non-coding RNA (ACOM_LNC034376)". The record is from RNAcentral. Lineage: Eukaryota; Viridiplantae; Streptophyta; Magnoliopsida; Poales; Bromeliaceae.
UAUUUUUUAGAAAAAAUAAUUUAUUAUUCUUACAUUUUUGCCUCUAUUCUUCUUUUAUCUAUCUUAUCUUUUUAUUUUUAUUUUUUUUUACUUUUUUUAUGUUUCAUUUUUAAAUUUCCUUCCUUAUUUUUUAUAUAUUUUUGAUAAUUCUUUUAUUCAGCUUAAUUAAAAUUUAUAUUUAAUACAAAUAAUUUAACUUAUUUAAAAAUUAUUUAUAUAUUUUAAAUUUUUAUAAAAAUAAAUAAAAAUUUAGAUUGAAUUAAAAAAAUUUAUAAAUUUUUUUAAUCAUAUAUUAAGAGAACAAAUAUAUAAAAAAAAUUAAAG